CAGCCGCCGCGGGAAUACGUAGGUGGCAAGCGUUGUCCGGAAUUAUUGGGCGUAAAGGGCUCGCAGGCGGUUUCUUAAGUCUGAUGUGAAAGCCCCCGGCUCAACCGGGGAGGGUCAUUGGAAACUGGGAAACUUGAGUGCAGAAGAGGAGAGCGGAAUUCCACGUGUAGCGGUGAAAUGCGUAGAGAUGUGGAGGAACACCAGUGGCGAAGGCGACUCUCUGGUCUGUAACUGACGCUGAGGAGCAAAAGCGUGGGGAGCGAACAGGAUUAGAUACCCCCGUAGUCCCUGUCUCUUAUAC
This 301-nucleotide ribosomal RNA is filed under the name uncultured bacterium. RNAcentral's name for it is "partial 16S ribosomal RNA". It matches the Rfam family "Bacterial small subunit ribosomal RNA", at positions 509 to 807 of the family's 1533-position model. The record is from RNAcentral.